ACUGGAGUCCACACGUGGGCUCUACCGGCAAGAGAGAAAUGACAACUGGUUCAGGACUCCUGCCAGCCUCUAGAGAAAUCCUGGAAUAUACAGCUCUGACACGUUAAUACCCUGCACAGAUCGAGAGACUCGUGGUCUCCCAGAUUCUCAUCAAGCCAUUGGACUUCUCUUCCAUAAACGUGUUCUCACCACAGC
Balaenoptera musculus (blue whale) is the source of this 195-nucleotide long non-coding RNA. RefSeq lists it as uncharacterized. The record is from RefSeq and is a predicted model, not a curated record. The transcript has 3 exons. NCBI's taxonomy places the organism in Eukaryota, Metazoa, Chordata, Mammalia, Artiodactyla, Balaenopteridae.